This 253-nucleotide ribosomal RNA is filed under the name uncultured bacterium. RNAcentral describes it as "partial 16S ribosomal RNA". It matches the Rfam family "Bacterial small subunit ribosomal RNA", at positions 524 to 776 of the family's 1533-position model. The record is from RNAcentral.
UACGUAGGGGCCUAGCGUUGUCCGGAUUUAUUGGGCGUAAAGAGCGUGUAGGCGGCCAGGUAGGUCUGCUGUGAAAACUCGAGGCUUAACCUCGAGAUGUCGGCGGAAACCAUCUGGCUAGAGUCCGGAAGAGGAGAAUGGAAUUCCCGGUGUAGCGGUGAAAUGCGCAGAUAUCGGGAAGAACACCCGUGGCGAAGGCGGUUCUCUGGGACGGUACUGACGCUGAGACGCGAAAGCGUGGGGAGCGAACAGG